Long non-coding RNA from Pseudophryne corroboree (corroboree frog), 913 nucleotides. RefSeq lists it as uncharacterized. The transcript has 4 exons. NCBI's taxonomy places the organism in Eukaryota, Metazoa, Chordata, Amphibia, Anura, Myobatrachidae. The record is from RefSeq and is a predicted model, not a curated record.
CCCACGGCGCUGAUGUAAUCUCCUCCUGCUUUGGCGCUAGCAGUGGGAGGUGUGUGGGCGGGACUGAUGACAAAGGACGGCUUGGGGAGCAGAGAGCUGCAGUGACUACUGUACUUGACUGCAGUACUGCCAGGAGCCACUAGAUGCCCCCAUAUCCAUGGAGCCAUCUCAUCACCUACCAGGACUGAGGAACAAUAGAGAGACUGCCCGGGAGGUUGUGUCUAUCAGAGGAACUAACACCAAAAAAGAAGGUAUGCUAAACCAAACCUACCAUCACUGAGGAUGUUGAAGCAGCAGGUCCAUAAAGGGCUGUGGCCCCACCUCCACCACUGUCUCAUCCUCUAUUUCAAAUUGCACCAAGUCCUCCAGUUUCUGAACCUUCAAGGGACACAUCCACUCCACCUUGUGCACAGCCACUAGACAGCUGAGGGGAAUGUGGACCCUGUGAUUGAGUACUCUCCAAAAUGUGUUCUGGUGGCUGAGGCAACACAGUAGAAAUACGACGUGGGGGUGUGCUUAAUGCUGGUGUUGGUGCGUCGUCAGGAUGACGUCUCUUGCUAGGCCUGCUCGUGUGGCUGCCAGACCCCUGUGAAGGACGUCUUUGUGGACUGUGAUGCGAUGUUGAAGUUCCUAUGGAUUAUUGCAAACAUUAAACAUUAGACUUAUUUUUUUUUUGUGGUGGACACAUUAACAGGUGUCGUUUUUGCGUUACCUGUAUCGCCAGCAUCCACAGCUCUUGACAGUGUUGCUUGUGUUCUGGAAGUGGAGGCUUGCUUUCGUACUGUAAAAAUGAUACAUUGGUGUUUAUGACCUUUCAUUACAGUGUGUACUUUUGUAAGCAGCAACAUUUAGUGAUGUGGACAUAUGUUUAACAUUAUGGGUACAGUUUCUAACAAUAAAUGUUGAAACAAUG